This 498-nucleotide ribosomal RNA is filed under the name uncultured bacterium. RNAcentral's name for it is "partial 16S ribosomal RNA". It matches the Rfam family "Bacterial small subunit ribosomal RNA", at positions 28 to 507 of the family's 1533-position model. The record is from RNAcentral.
GACGAACGCUGGCGGCGUGCCUAAUACAUGCAAGUCGAGCGGACGAAUCGAAAGCUUGCUUUUGAUUCGUUAGCGGCGGACGGGUGAGUAACACGUGGGCAACCUGCCCUGUAGACGGGGAUAACACCGAGAAAUCGGUGCUAAUACCGGAUAACACGAAAUGUCGCAUGACGUUUCGUUGAAAGACGGCGCAAGCUGUCGCUACAGGAUGGGCCCGCGGCGCAUUAGCUAGUUGGUGAGGUAACGGCUCACCAAGGCGACGAUGCGUAGCCGACCUGAGAGGGUGAUCGGCCACACUGGGACUGAGACACGGCCCAGACUCCUACGGGAGGCAGCAGUAGGGAAUCUUCCGCAAUGGACGAAAGUCUGACGGAGCAACGCCGCGUGAGCGAAGAAGGCCUUCGGGUCGUAAAGCUCUGUUGUUAGGGAAGAACAAGUACCGCAGUAACUGGCGUUACCGUGACGGUACCUAACGAGAAAGCCACGGCUAACUACGUG